Molecule: transfer RNA, 73 nt
Filed under: Camelus bactrianus (Bactrian camel)
Lineage: Eukaryota; Metazoa; Chordata; Mammalia; Artiodactyla; Camelidae
Also listed under: 2 other names
Rfam family: tRNA
About the family: Transfer RNA (tRNA) molecules are approximately 80 nucleotides in length.
Source: Rfam by way of RNAcentral
AAGGGUAUAGCUCAGUGGUAGAGUGCAUGCCUAGCAUUCAGGAGGGUCCUGGGCUCAAUUCCCAGUACCUCCA